UUAGAACGCUGGCGGCAUGCCUUACACAUGCAAGUCGAACGGCAGCACGGGAGCAAUCCUGGUGGCGAGUGGCGAACGGGUGAGUAAUAUAUCGGAACGUGCCCAGUCGUGGGGGAUAACGUAGCGAAAGCUACGCUAAUACCGCAUACGAUCUAUGGAUGAAAGCGGGGAUCGCAAGACCUCGCGCGAUUGGAGCGGCCGAUAUCAGAUUAGGUAGUUGGUGAGGUAAAGGCUCACCAAGCCGACGAUCUGUAGCUGGUCUGAGAGGACGACCAGCCACACUGGGACUGAGACACGGCCCAGACUCCUACGGGAGGCAGCAGUGGGAAUUUUGGACAAUGGGCGCAAGCCUGAUCCAGCAAUGCCGCGUGCAGGAUGAAGGCCUUCGGGUUGUAAACUGCUUUUGUACGGAACGAAACGGUGAGCUCUAAUACAGUUUGCUAAUGACGGUACCGUAAGAAUAAGCACCGGCUAACUACGUG
Molecule: ribosomal RNA, 482 nt
Filed under: uncultured bacterium
Lineage: Bacteria
Description: bacterial SSU rRNA
Rfam family: Bacterial small subunit ribosomal RNA
Source: RNAcentral